AAACCAAAAAAUUUAGUCAUUCAUUUACGGUAAAAAGACAGUUAGGUAAAGCAAGAGGUCAUUAAGAUCUUUAGUAUAGGAGUAAAAUCUAAAUACUAAAAGUUAUACCAGAUAUGGCUUGCCUGGAAUACUGAAUCUGUGACAACUUUAAGGGAAACUGGGAUUGGAUACCCCAUUAUUUUUAGCUGUAAAUCUAGUUUAAGCUUACCGGAGUACUACGAAUAAAAAAUUUAAAACUCAAAGGGCUUGGCGGUGUUUUAGACUUCUCAGGGGAACCUGUCUCGUAAUCGACAAUCCACGUUAGACCUAACCUUUUAUGGUAAUACAGUCUGUAUACCGUCGUCGUCAGGUAACUUCUAAAAAUAUGGUGGUUAGCUCGACAGUCUUAUUAGCUAAAACGUCAGAUCAAGGUGCAGCUAAUAAAAAGGUGAGGAUGGGUUACAAUUAUAUAUUUAUAAAUAUGGAUAGCACUAUGAAAUGGAGUGUCUUAAAGGAGGACUUGAAAGUAAUUUUAAUUAUAUAAAUGAGAUGAAUUUGGCUCUGAAACGUG
RNAcentral lists this ribosomal RNA (550 nucleotides) under Conus spurius atlanticus. RNAcentral describes it as "partial 12S ribosomal RNA". Lineage: Eukaryota; Metazoa; Mollusca; Gastropoda; Neogastropoda; Conidae. The record is from RNAcentral.